Molecule: long non-coding RNA, 2643 nt
Organism: Lactuca sativa (garden lettuce)
Lineage: Eukaryota; Viridiplantae; Streptophyta; Magnoliopsida; Asterales; Asteraceae
Source: RefSeq, a predicted model, not a curated record
GCUUGGUUAUUUUCGUUUUCUUUUCAUUAAAAUGUCUUCCAUUUCUACAGAAAAUGUAAAAAGAAUUAUUUGCAUUGAAGAUUCAAUUCGACCUUUCUUAUGUGAACUACAUUUUUAGACCGGGUCAAACUGAAUAUUGAUGGCCCGCACAUGGUCCGGUGGUCCCUUAGUUUCAUCACCUAGCCGACCAUUCAUUGAAUUAAAUUUUAGUGUGCACAAAAAGUCUACUAGUCAAGCAUCAACCUUUAUAUUUAAAUAUUUAAUUAAUUAAAGUAUAUAUUUUUCUUAAAUGCAGCUACCUUUUCAAAUUAAAGUGGUGGACGAGAUGGCUAUAUCACCGGCCAAAAUUUGAACAUCCUUAUUUAAUUUAUGAAAACUAUGGUUGGAUAUAACAAGAUAAACAAUUUGUAAUGUGUCGUAUGUGAUAAACAAUUUAUAUCAAAUGAUGAGAUAGUGGCUAUAGUGAUGUAGUCAUGUUUAUCCAGAAAAAAAUGUAUUUUAUCUUAAUUUUAAGAAAUUCAAGUAGCAACUUCAAACAUAAUUUUAGAUAAUGUUUUGAGCUUGCAUCGGGUUGAAAAGUCAACCUCUCUUCGGGUUCGGCGAUAUUAACUUGGAAAUCAUCUAAGUGGCUCGCAGAAUCAAUUGUUCGAUAAGAUCCCUCCGCUUCAAAUACUUGGGCUAUCAAGUGUCAAGACUCAAUACCUCAAUUUAUUUGGUGAUUCCUGAAUUUUAAAAAAUUACAUAAUAUCAGGUUGGAACAAAUUUGAGUUUUCGGUUCUCCAAAUUUGAGCUUUCCAUUAUCUCAGGGUGGUAUAAUCUUAAUCCAUAUCUUUUAUACUUAUACUCUUAUAGUGUAACAUCCCGAAUUUCAGGUGUGUCUCUUAAACCCUUUUCCUUUUCCAAGGUUGUCAAGUUAAGCCCUUAAUUGAAAUAUUAAGGCAAAUGAGUACGCUGGGCGUACUGAAGAGUAUGCUGCGCAUACUCAUGCGCUUUAAUUGGGCGCGAACUCGCCUAGGUACGCUGGGCGUACCCAAGGUUACGCUAGGCGUAGCGGGCCCAGAUGCAAACCCUAAUUUAUGGCUUGUGCACUAUAAAAGGAAUGCUAAGGCCUUAUCCUCAGCCACCAUUUCAGAGAGUGGAAUCCUAAGAAAGCAUUUCCUUAGUCCUAAAGCUUGUGUGUGAGUGUUUUGAGCUAAAAGUGACUUUGUGUGUUAGUGAAGAAGAAGGAGGGGUACUUGUGGAGGCUAAGGUUUGGAGUUCAAGCUUGGAUCUAAGUUCUUCAGAGGAAGGAGCUUCACUUUGAGGCGGAGGCUAGACCAGAUUUUACCGAGUUCGAGAUUUACUGAGUUACCCGAGGUACCAGUGAGGAUCGUGGGAAGGCGCCGACAUGAUCAGUACACACUAUUGGAGUUUCAUACAUUUUGAUCUUGGGAUGUGAUUUUAUGGAUUUGUUAUGUGGUACAUUGAGAACUGAUAAUCUUUAUGAAUGAAAUUACAUUUUUAAAAAAGUUAAAAUUUUGUUUGAAAUUUACGUUGUUACACGUUGGUAUCAGAGCCUUGGUUUGAGGGAUUCGGGUGCACCUUCGGGCGUAUCUUAACUCAAACUGUGGACUUGAGAGAUUUUCAAAAAUAAAACCAUAAUUUUUUUUAAAGAUAGUAAAAGGUUUUGAAAAGAGCAGAGCAGAUCAGUGUGUACAAUCAGCCAGCGCCCAAACGGUGAUUUCCCAAAAUACCCUUAUAUUAUGCAUUAUGAGAUAUGACAUGAUAUGUUGUGCAUGUUAGAGUAGGCUAUGUAUUCUUAUUUGCACUAGAGUGGCAUGAUUUGUGAUGCCUUAGCCUAGGGAUUUUGCUGCUAGGAGACGCUUGAGAGUGAGUAUGUAGCAGCGAGGAGUUUUUGAGAGGUCUGCUAGAGAGUAACUUAUGCAUAGUGAGAGUAGAGUACUCGGGAUUCGGGAUCCUAGGAGGAGGACUUGCGGUGAAUAUUGAUGCAGUGUGGAGGUUAGUAUUGGGCCCGUGCUACUGAAGACACCGGAUCAGUACGCAACCCAAGUAAGAAUCCUUAGGUGCUAGUGAUCGAGUAGGAAUGGGAUAUCGAGUGCGUGCAUACUCGAGCGAGACUUUGAUAUUUUGUGUUGUAUUUCAGAUACAUCAUGGUUGGGACACGCCACAAACCUGAGAGCAGCGGCGUUAGUGAUGAGGAGCUCCGCCAGAUGAUCCAUGAGGAGGUGGCUGCGACGAUCCGUGCAAAGAUACCAAAGAUGUUUGGGUCUAUUAAGACCACCCUGAUUGAGACAUUCGACGAGAGGUACGCAACGGUUACUGAGGCUGCGGCCACUGCGGCUGUUGCUGCUACUAGACCUCAAGGUGGCGAUUCGUUGCUGUUCCGGGAGUUCAACAACAUGAAGCCACCAGAGUUUGAUGGGACGUAGGAUCCGAUUGCUGCGAUGAUAUGGGUUUCUGACAUCGAGGGAUGCUUCUAUACAUGUUCUUGUCCGGAGCAUCUGAGAGUUCGGUUCGCGCUGAGCCAGCUUCACUUAGGAGCGAAGGAUUGGUGGAAGUUUAUGACAACACUGUUGGAUUAAUGUCUAAGUCCAUAACUAUAUUUGGUAUGUACUUGACCCGACCCGGCAUGGUCCAUUUGGG